RNAcentral lists this ribosomal RNA (433 nucleotides) under uncultured bacterium. RNAcentral describes it as "partial 16S ribosomal RNA". It matches the Rfam family "Bacterial small subunit ribosomal RNA", at positions 29 to 507 of the family's 1533-position model. The record is from RNAcentral.
AACGAACGCUGGCGGCAUGCCUAACACAUGCAAGUCGAACGAGACCUUCGGGUCUAGUGGCGCACGGGUGUGUAACGCGUGGGAACCUGCCUUUAGGUUCGGAAUAACUCAGAGAAAUUUGAGCUAAUACCGGAUGAUGUCUUCGGACCGAAGAUUUAUCGCCUUUAGAUGGGCCCGCGUUGGAUUAGCUAGUUGGUGGGGUAAAGGCCUACCAAGGCGACGAUCCAUAGCUGGUCUGAGAGGAUGAUCAGCCACACUGGGACUGAGACACGGCCCAGACUCCUACGGGAGGCAGCAGUGGGGAAUAUUGGACAAUGGGCGAAAGCCUGAUCCAGCAAUGCCGCGUGAGUGAUGAAGGCCUUAGGGUUGUAAAGCUCUUUUACCCGAGAUGAUAAUGACAGUAUCGGGAGAAUAAGCUCCGGCUAACUCCGUG